Molecule: ribosomal RNA, 240 nt
Filed under: uncultured bacterium
Lineage: Bacteria
Description: partial 16S ribosomal RNA
Rfam family: Bacterial small subunit ribosomal RNA
Source: RNAcentral
CGGCGGACGGGUGAGUAACACGUGGGUAACCUGCCCCGGGAAGUGGGGAAUACCUCGGGGAAACCGGUGCUAAUACCGCAUGUCAUCGCUGGUCGCAUGGCCGGUGAGAAAAGCAGCAAUGCACGAGAGGGUGGGCCCGCGGCCUAUCAGUUAGUUGGUGGGGUAACGGCCUACCAAGGCUUUGACGGGUAGCUGGUCUGAGAGGACGACCAGCCACACGGGGACUGAGACACGGCCCCG